Molecule: long non-coding RNA, 1419 nt
Filed under: Phasianus colchicus (ring-necked pheasant)
Lineage: Eukaryota; Metazoa; Chordata; Aves; Galliformes; Phasianidae
Description: lncRNA (ENSPCLG00000017587.1)
Source: RNAcentral
AUGGGGGCAUUUGGGGACACCAUAGGGACACUAUGGGUGAUCUGGGGACAUGUGGGGACACUUUGGAGGCACUGUAGGGUGAUUAAGGAGCACUAUGGGCGGUGUCCCCCCUUUUGGGGACACCAUGGGGACAUUUCAUCCCAUUUGGGGACAUUCUGGGGACAUUUGAGCCCAUUUGGGGACACCUUGAGGACACCCUGGGGACAUUUGAACUCAUCUGGGGACCCCCUGGGGACAUUUCAGCCCACUUGGGGACAUUUGGGGACCCCUUGGGGACAUUUCAUCCCAUGUGGGGACAGCAUGGGGACACCCUGGGGACAUUUGAACCCAUCUGGGGACACCCUGGGGACAUUUCAGCCCAUGUGGGGACAUCUGGGGACCCCUUGGGGACAUUUCAUCCCAUUUGGGGACAUUUUGGGGACACCCUGGGGACAUUUGAACCCAUCUGGGGACAUUCUGAGGACAUUUCAUCCCAUUUGGGCACAUUCUGGGGGACAUUUCAGCCCAUCUGGGGACAUCUGGGGACCCCUUGGGGACAUUUCAUCCCAUUUGGGGACAGCAUGGGGACAUUUGAGCCCAUGUGGGGACAGUAUGGGGACACCCUGGGGACAUCUGAACCCAUCUAGGGACCCCCUGGGGACAUUUCAGCCCACUUGGGGACAUUUGGGGACCCCUUGGGGACAUUUCAGCCCAUUUGGGGACCAUUGGAGCCCAUUUGGGGACAUUUCAUCCCAUUUGAGGACAUCUUGGGGACCCCUUGGAGACAUUUUGAGCCCAUUUGUGGACCCACUGGGAACGCUUCAGCCCACUGGGGACACCUCAAGGAUCCCCUUGGGGACAUUGUAUGGGGACACCCUGAGGAGGGUGACAUUUAGGGGACGUUUUUGGGGACCUCGUGGCUGCUGUCCCUACAUAGGAGCCACGCAGCUGCGGACUCUGUCCCUGUCCCAAAAUGCCAUCGGGACCGCAGGGCUGGAGGAGCUGCUGCUCUGCGUCCCCGACGGUGUCACCAACCUGGAGGUGGCCGCCAUCGGGGGACAGCGUCCGCUUGGUGUCACCAAGCUGUGUGACUUCCUGCGUCAGGGCGGCUGUGUUUCGUGGCCGCGUUCGCAGCGUCGACGCUUCGGCCAACGGAGCCGUGGGCGCUGCGUGGCUGCGGGCGCUGCAGGCGGCGCUGGCGGGGCGGCCCCACACACUGCGCCACCUCAACCUGGCAGGUUGCUCCCUGCAGCUCCCGCCGGACGACGCUGUGUGGGAACAACUGGGGGCAGCGGUGGAAGAACUGCGGAUCCGGGGGGCAGCGCGAUGGGGGGGGCAAAAGGGGGGGGGAGAGAUGGGGGGCAGAGGGAUGGGGGGCAGAGCGAUGUGGGGCACAGGAGUGGGGGGCAGCGAUGUGGGGCAGGGCGAUGGGGGGGCUGA